GAUGAACGCUGCGGCGUGCCUAACACAUGCAAGUCGAGCGGCAGCGAAGGGUGCUUGCACCCUGUCGGCGAGCGGCGGACGGCUGAGUAACGCGUGGGAACGUGCCCCAAAGUGAGGAAUAACUGCCCGAAAGGGUAGCUAAUACCGCAUAUUAUCUUCGGAUCAAAGGAUUUAUCCGCUUUGGGAGCGGCCCGCGUCGGAUUAGGUAGUUGGUGAGGUAAUGGCUCACCAAGCCGACGAUCCGUAGCUGGUCUGAGAGGAUGACCAGCCAGACUGGAACUGAGACACGGUCCAGACUCCUACGGGAGGCAGCAGUGAGGAAUCUUCCACAAUGGGCGAAAGCCUGAUGGAGCAACGCCGCGUGCAGGACGAAGGCCUUCGGGUUGUAAACUGCUUUUAUAAGUGAGGAAUAUGACGGUAACUUAUGAAUAAGGAUCGGC
This 440-nucleotide ribosomal RNA is filed under the name TM7 phylum sp. oral taxon 349. RNAcentral's name for it is "bacterial SSU rRNA". It matches the Rfam family "Bacterial small subunit ribosomal RNA", at positions 28 to 497 of the family's 1533-position model. The record is from RNAcentral. Lineage: Bacteria; Candidatus Saccharimonadota.